UGUGGUUAUGGUCAUGAUUAUGGUUAUGGUCAUGAUUAUGGUUAUGGUCAUGGUUAUGGAUGUAGAGCUUUGUGGUCAUGGUUAUGGUUAUGGUUAUGGUUAUGUUAUGGUCAUGGUUAUGGUUAUGUUGUUAUGGUUAUGGUUAUGGUUAUGGUUAUGGUUAUGGUUAUGCUGUGGUUAUGGUCAUG
Molecule: long non-coding RNA, 188 nt
Filed under: Phasianus colchicus (ring-necked pheasant)
Lineage: Eukaryota; Metazoa; Chordata; Aves; Galliformes; Phasianidae
Description: lncRNA (ENSPCLG00000019059.1)
Source: RNAcentral